UUUUGAAGUUUCAUCGCUAAUAAAUUAUAAAUGAAAGGGGGAGCAAUUCAAAGAGUCAAAUUGGCAAUAUUUAAAUAAUAUAGGGGGAGAUUUCACUCUUAUAUAUGAAAAGCUGAAAUUCAGCAAUUUAAACCCGUUUAUAAACUAUUUUUAAAAGACAAGUAUCAAUAGGCUUAUACUCUUUAUUUUGUAAUCAUCAAAAAGGAGGAGAUUGAGGAUGAUAGUGUUAUUUUGAUGAUUAACAAGCAAUUAUCUAGAGUAUAUUAUAAGUUAAAUUGAUACUUCAUUUAUAAGUUCAUUACUCUCAGUAUAUUUGUAUGAAUUGAUAUAGAUACAUGUCUUUGUUCAUUUGAAUGAAUCUAACCUUGAGAUGCAGCAAAGUGUAGAUUGAGUCGAUCCCGGCACAUCAAGAAGUCAUUUGGCACACUUCUGCAAAAUUGGCACAGAUGAACAGUGAGUUGGGUCGACCCAAGGUAAGCAUGAGUCGACCCAAACUUCAAGAACCUCAAAACAUGAAAGAAAUAUGUUCUCUGGAUUUACUGAGAGGGUCGACCCAAACAGUGGUUGAGUCGACCCAAGCUUGAGUCGACCCAAACCCUGAGAGGGUCGACCCAAAGGCAAGACUGAAAGGCAGACAGAAAAUGGUUCUCUGGAAUUACUAAGAGGGUCGACCCAAGAAGAAGUUGAGUCGACCCAAGUGAACUUUGAGUCGACCCAAAGAAUGGUUGGGUCGACCCAUGGAAAGGAAGGCUGNN
RNAcentral lists this long non-coding RNA (755 nucleotides) under Phoenix dactylifera (date palm). RNAcentral's name for it is "long non-coding RNA (PDAC_LNC013215)". The record is from RNAcentral. Lineage: Eukaryota; Viridiplantae; Streptophyta; Magnoliopsida; Arecales; Arecaceae.